Molecule: long non-coding RNA, 1834 nt
Organism: Salmo salar (Atlantic salmon)
Lineage: Eukaryota; Metazoa; Chordata; Actinopteri; Salmoniformes; Salmonidae
Source: RefSeq, a predicted model, not a curated record
CUGACCAAGAGAAACUAAACUAGAGCCCAGUAGGUCAGGACAAGUGGCCCUAGUGUAGUUCUGAAUGAGUGUCUGUACUGUACUGUAGGUGGAGGUUGAUAAACAGAAGUUCCGAGGCUCGGGGCCCAAUAAGAAAGUAGCGAAGGCUUGCGCUGCCCUGGCUGCUCUGAAGAGACUCUUCUCUGACUCCAAAGACCCCCGCAACAAGAAGAGGAGACCCACCACACUGGUGAAGAGAACUGUGUCAUCAACCGUGACUAUCCCAGCCCAUGCCCAUUCCAGGCCUAGAACAAGGCCAGUGAUGCAUAGAGCACCCUACAUCAGCACUCCCCCCACCCAUGGCUACCUCCCAAUAGGCUAUGGAGCUCCAUAUGGUUAUGGUACUGCAGCUCCCCUCCCUGCCUAUGGCGGCCUGUACAUUGACAGUGCCUUUUACCAGCCACAGACUAUUGCCACUCCUAUUAUAAUUCACCUGGGUCCUCAGGAUCUCUUCUGACCUCAACAGCCAGCAGGGGAUCUCAUUUGACCUCUGCUCUCUAGAGCCAUCAGGGGAUGACUUGGCGUUUUGACUUAGCUUCCUGUCUGACCAGGCUCUCAUUUCCUUAUUAAAGGGAUACUUCAGGAUUUUUGCAAUGAGACCUUUUAUGUACUUUGUGGAUAUCAUUUUUAUGUCUGUGUCCAGUAUGAACGUCUAGUAACCCAAAGGUUGCAAUUUUGUUCAAAUCUCAUCACGAACAACUUCAGCGUUUUUUGUUAAUUAGCAACUUUUCAACUACAAAUAUGUUAGCUAACCAUUCCCCAAAUCUUAACCCUUUUAGCUAACCCUAACUUUAACCCUUUAGCUAACCCUUCCCUUAACCCUAACGUUUUAACCUAACUCCUAAACUUAACCUUAACCCUAACCACUAGCCUAGCGUUAGCCAUCUAGCAAGAAUUUGUAACAUAUCAUACAUUUGGUAAAUUCAUAACAUAUCAAAUGUUUAGCAAAUUUGUAACAAAUAAACUGAAGAAAAACAAACGCAACAUGUAAAGUGUUGGUUCCAUGUUUCAUGAGCUGAAAUAAAAUAGCCCAGACAUUUUCCAUACACACAAAAAACGUAUUUCUCUCAAAUGUUGUUCACAAAUUUGUUUACAUCCCUGUUAGUGAGCAUUUCUCUUUCGCCAAGAUAAUCCAUCCACCUGAUAGGUGUGGCAUAUGAAGAAGCUGAUUAAACAGCAUGAUCAUUACACAGGUAAACACUGUGCUAGGGACAACAUUUCUCUAAAAUGUGCAGUUUUAACACACAACACAAUGCCACAGAUGUCUCAAGUUUAGAGGGAGCGUGCAAUUGGCAUGCUGACUGCAGGAAUGUCCACCAGAGCUGUUGCCAGAUAAUUUUAUGUUCCUUUCUCUACCAUAAGCCGCCCUCAUAUUGGGAUGCAGCUACCCAUACUUGACACUACCUCUAUCUUCCUUCGUACUAGACACGGAGACAUACACUCGUGAAUACCAUGUUUAUCUGACUCUGGGGAAGUAGAUAAAAGGCCUCAUUGCCAAAAUCACAAAGUAUACCUUUAAGACUGUGUCUAGAUUCUCCACCUCCACCCUUCUCAUGAAUUGUGCAAGUGCACACUAGGUUGGAAAAUCGGGACCCAUCUCUGAGCAGAUAUCAAUCCAAGAAGAAGCAAUACAUCAGAGUUGGAAUUAUUUCCGAAUAUGUUGCAAUACUUGACUUUAGCUUCAAAUACUUGGAAAUAGUGGAAAUGGAUUGGCACAACACUGCAAUAUUCAUGUGAUAUACACUGACUAUACCAAACAUUAAGAACACCUUUCUAAUAUUGAGUUGCACCCUCC